AAAAAAGCAAAGAAGAGGAAAGUACUUGUUGGUUGGUCCUUCAGAGAGCUCUUGGUCGGUGGGAAAGAGCGGACGGCAGCACAGGAAAAAUGGCCUCGGAGUUGAUGCGCUGACAGGGAAUCCUGCAGGCGCAUCCGGACGCCCCCGUUAGACAGGCAACGGUAUCGAGCGCGGUAAAAGGCUCCGUACCGGUUGAGGCGGCCAGCGCAAGCUUUCCGCGAAAAAAGGUGGAACCACGAUGUCACUGUCGUCCUUUCU
RNAcentral lists this non-coding RNA (258 nucleotides) under Trichococcus sp. RNAcentral's name for it is "T-box sequence". It matches the Rfam family "T-box leader". From Rfam's summary of the family: Uncharged tRNA acts as the effector for transcription antitermination of genes in the T-box leader family. T-boxes are found upstream of many aminoacyl-tRNA synthetase genes and some amino acid biosynthetic genes usually in Gram-positive bacteria. The anticodon of a specific tRNA base pairs to a specifier sequence within the T-box motif, and the NCCA acceptor tail of the tRNA base pairs to a conserved bulge in the T-box antiterminator hairpin. The record is from RNAcentral. Lineage: Bacteria; Bacillati; Bacillota; Bacilli; Lactobacillales; Carnobacteriaceae.